UACUUAAAAACUGAAAGCUUUACUGUAUA
This 29-nucleotide non-coding RNA is filed under the name Rattus norvegicus (Norway rat). Lineage: Eukaryota; Metazoa; Chordata; Mammalia; Rodentia; Muridae. The record is from RNAcentral.